This 253-nucleotide ribosomal RNA is filed under the name uncultured bacterium. RNAcentral describes it as "partial 16S ribosomal RNA". It matches the Rfam family "Bacterial small subunit ribosomal RNA", at positions 524 to 776 of the family's 1533-position model. The record is from RNAcentral.
UACGGAGGGUGCAAGCGUUAUCCGGAUUUACUGGGUUUAAAGGGUGUGUAGGCGGGCCUUUAAGUCUGGGGUGAAAUCUCCGAGCUCAACUCGGAAACUGCCCUGGAUACUAUCGGCCUUGAAUUAUGUUGAGGUCGGCGGAAUAUAACAUGUAGCGGUGAAAUGCAUAGAUAUGUUAUAGAACACCGAUUGCGAAGGCAGCUGACUAAGCAUAUAUUGACGCUGAGGCACGAAAGCGUGGGGAUCAAACAGG